This is a non-coding RNA of Caenorhabditis elegans, 146 nucleotides long. Lineage: Eukaryota; Metazoa; Nematoda; Chromadorea; Rhabditida; Rhabditidae. The record is from Ensembl.
UCCACCACCCAAUUGACAUUUAGAAAGGUAAAUGGAGAGAGAAAGAGAGGAAAUGGAUAAAGUUCGCAGAAAAAUGUUACCGUAAAUAAUGUGUCAGUGUGCUUGCUUCACGUUCUCCGUCUCUUUUCCCUCAUUUCUCUCCGCUC